UUAAUCUUUAAUAUUAUUGUUAUCUAUCUGUUUUCUGUCCUGUUAAACUGCCUCUAUCAGAACCCACAAAUUUUAUGGUUUUUUUUUUUUUUUCCUGUUUUUUUUUCACGUCUUUCCCAUUUGAAGGAGGAGGGGAGCAAAAUCUGUGUGGUGUUUAGUUGCUGGCUACAGUUAAACCACGAUUGCUCUUUUUGGGGCCCCAAAGUAUUUGAGGUAAUGACAGAUGUGAUUGGGACAUGCUGGAUAAAAAUUAUAUCUGUUAGGGCUGUUUAGGGAUCAGUUGGCAGGCUCCUGUGCUUGCCAUGCAGCUUUCUUCCUGUUUGCCAGAGGCUCGUGCUUGCUAGUGGCUGCUUUCUGCUCUCUCUGCUCGCUGUAGAGCUGUGCUGCUCAUCUCCUUUCUCCGCUGUGCCUGAGAAUGUUCUGAUAGCAGCAGUGGUGAUGUGCCUGGGCUGGACCAGCGCACCACUGCUGUGUCUGUGCUGGACAGGAUGGAACCCCAGUGUGAGCUUGAGCGGGAGUGCUGCGAUCUGUGGAUGAGUCCAGAUGGGAGGAGGACACCUCAAGCCACCUGCGGCCCAUGGAUUGUGCCAUUCUGAAACAUGUGAGCCUCAGGGCUACAAAUAUCUAUGUUAUCAUCGUUGAGGGCAGAUCAAUCUGUUAACAUUUUUGGAACACAUCAGUGGGGAAUCUAUGAAGAUCUCUUAAUAAGGCAUUUGCAAUCUCAGGAAAUACAGGAAGAGGAUGAGAAGGAAAAAAGAAGACAAUCAGUAUUAUCACACUGGUCUCCAUCCAACAGUUCAGUGAGCUGUCUUCUUUCAGAACAGGAGUCCUUCUGAUGGGUUUUCAACUUCCUGAUUGUUGAAGUGCUAUGAAUAAUGACUGGAAACUUUGUUACCACCACAUUUUAAAUCUAAAAAUCAUGAAGUUUAUCAGCAAGUUAUUAAAAAAGAAAAAACAAUGAAAUCAAAACCUCAACCAGAGAAACAAAAGAAAAAAAAUCUGAAAGAGGGAAAUUAAUAAAUACCAAUCCAAAACCCAAUCAGCUUUGAAUAUCCAGAUUCUGGCUGUCUAGCUUCAAAUGUCACCACCAAGUAUAAUUUUUUUUAACAUUGGAUGUCCUUGUUACUUUCUGAUGCAGCAAAAACUUAAUGGUCACAGCAAAACUAAAAUUCCAUGUUAAUAAGAUAUAGAUACAGAAAAUUAUAGCCAUCUGCAUUCCUCCAUAUUAACAAGGACUACAGAUUUUCAAUUAGUUGACUCCUCUGUGAAACAGACUUUAAUUUUUAGGGAGAAAAUACAAAAGCCAUAACUGGAUCAAAUCUCCAUUAAAAUUGCUGGUGAGGGGGUCUGAAGUACUAAAUCAGUGUGCAAAUGAACCUAUCAGUAAAAAAGGUCGAUAUUUUGCAUAUAUAUCUAAGUAUAAAUAAGGAAGAAAAAUGUAGUGUCUUACUAAUGUAGAGAUGGCAGACUAUGCCUUGCACAGAAUACACAGCACAGUAUCUCAGAAAAAGGGAAAAGUUCCAAUUUUUUACAGUGGACCACAGGCCUGGGAGCUUGCCCUCAGAGAUUUAAUAAAUAAGGGCAGUGACGAAGUUUUGUUAUAAUAUUUGACAUCAGAUUGAGCCAAACUGAACUAGUGGGGUACCUUUCAGUGAGAAGAUAAUUGAUUUUGUCUGGGGAAUAUAUUAGAUCUCCCUUGUUUGGACUUCAGUGAAACAUUUGAUAUGGCAUGCAAAAGAAAUUCCAGUGAUAUUUAGGAAGAAAGGGAUGAAUAUUAUAAUUGCAUGAUGGAUAAGAUGAUGUCUACCUAGGCACCCAUUAUCUUUUUGAAAGCUGAACUGUAUUAGUAGAGAAGAUUUAUUAAUGGUGUUUCUCCAAGACUAUUCAAGGCAGGCAUUGAUGGUGCUUUUUAUUUAUUUAUUUAUUUAUUUUAUUUUUUAUAAUAAAAUUUGAUAUAAUGUCAAAUUAACAAAAAAUGAUUAAGUUUAGUGAAAUUGUGGUAACUAUUGCACAGUAUCUUUCUAGUAGCAUGUAAGUGUAACGUCUGAAUUGUAUCUACUUUUAAUUUUUUUCUCAAUUAAUUAAUUAACUAAUAACAAUUUAUUCCUUAAGGAAAUAAUUUAACAAAAUUUCAAAAUAUGUCAAUUACAGCCUUUAUUGCCUGUCGGUCCUGGGUCAUAAAAAUAUAUCUGUGAACAAAGUAGGAAGGGUGAUGAAAGAUUUAGGCAAAAAUUACAAUGAAAUAUAAAUAAUAUUAAAUAUUGAAUAUAAAUACUAUUAAAUGAACAUAUCUAGACUGAAAAUCACAAUGUUUCUAGCAAUAAAACAAAGGAAAUUUGGAAGGAGUUGUAUAUUUAGGAUAUCAAGAAGAGAAAUAUACCCCAUUUUAAGAGGUGAUUUUUUAAUGAAAGGGAUUAUAUGAGAUGACUGUGGAUUAUAUGGGAAACUGAUUUUGAGGCAAUCCUUGCUUCUUAUUAUUUUUAAUGUCUCUGUGUCUUACAAUUAAAGAGUCCUAAAAUGUGCCUAAAGAGGCUUUUUUUAUAAGACUUUUACUUACUGAAUUACACCAUGAGAAGUUUUAUUGGUAAUUAACAUGCUCCAGACACUGCCGGAAAUUAAUUUCCACAGAGGUAUCCUAUGGCUGAUGGGAUCUCUGCUCAUUUGCUGUGUCUGGUCAGCCUUUGGCAAGACAUCAACUUUGGGUAUUUGCAGUGGAGGCAGGAAAAAAGGCAUGUGAUUUUAUUUUCUCUAGAGAUUAGAAAGGUUUAGAGAUCAUAGAUGAGUUCCACUUUCAAUCAAGGCAGAUUUACCACCUCUGAAAAAUGGUUAAAUUAUUCAGAUUCUUGUUUUAAACAAAUUCCAACUUUGGGACUGAUGAUGUGUAUUAUUAUCUGCUUAUUUCCUUACUUCUUGUUUGCAGCUGUAAUUCAAAUCAGUGUAGUCAAAAUAAUUUCAGUAACUCUAACAAAUUAUGGAUGUAAUUAUUACUGAAUCCAUCUCAGAAUGCAGCUUUAUUUACAAAGGACACAGCAUUGAUUAAAACAGCUUGAAUUAUGCUAACUACAACACUGAGAUCUCUUUGCAAAACCAUCUGAGAAGCACAGUAAUUUGAGUUCAAGGGAGAGGCAGUAUUACAAGGAGGCUAAUGAUAAUCGUGUUUAAAGUCAUUGGCAGCUAAAGUACUUACUGUACAGGAGCCUUCUGUCAGAGACAAUUAUAGUGAAGGGCCUUUGAAUGGGGUCGAAAGACUCUGAGUGUGUUUCUGUGACAGCUUUGUUCUUACAAUACUUAUUCUGGCUUAUCUGUAAAGCAGUAUUAAAUUUAGAGUGUCACAAGCCAAGGGGCUCAUGAAAAACUAAAUUGACAGUAUGCAACAAUGUGGUAGUUACACUGCAGCCUUUCUAAUAAUGGCACUGCAUUGUUAGAUCAAAAGCAUCCCCCAGGACCCCGGAAGUAGCACCAGUAGUCCUGUUCACAUGGAUUAGGAAAGCACUGUUCACUGCAAAAAGCUGUCAGGAAUAAAGAAAAACCUGCUAGGAUCACCUUGUUUUGUAUCUGGUCAUCAGCCCACAAGAGGUAUUUUUGAAUGGUGUCCCAGUUUUGCUUGUUAUGUGUCUAUUUAAUUUAAUUUAAUUUCAUUUCACUUUUGUUUUUGAGGAAGGAGGCAGUGGGUGAGUAGUUUAGCUUCACGUGCUCUGGUGUAUCUAAGUAUCUCACAGCUUUCAAUUAGUUUAAUCUCACCACUAAAUUCGAUGGUUCUGUGAAUAUUUCAGAUUCUUUCACUAGUUCUGAACUUUGAAGAUUGUUCUUUAUAUUACCUCCUAUCAAAUAAUGACAACAGUGUUUUAUGGAACAAGCUGCCUAUCAAUACACUCUUAUAUUAUUUUUUGUCCUCAAAAAUAAAUAUAUUCUUAUAUUAUUGCUUAUCUAUUAAAACAAAACAUAGAACCAAGAGAGGGUUUUCAUGGGAAUCUCACUUGAAGUAAGCUUGCCUAUUCUGUUUUCACGGGAGACAUUUUGCAAAUGUCAGUCUUUGCAAUUUUUAUGAGAAAAAUUAGCUCAUCUGGGUCCUGUCCUCUAUGAGGAUUAGUCAGAAUUGAAAGGAAAUAUUAAAAAAAUAGUCUAUAAUUUUGAAAUAGCUUUUUAAUUAAUAUCUGAAUGCAUGGAUUUAAAAGAACCUUAGCAUUUUAAUGAAAAAAUAAGGGAACUAAUAAUAAUGUUGAUUCAUCUUCAAGCAGGUUUAGGAUUAACUGUGAAAAACUGAGAUAGCAUUUGCAAAUGUCUGACCAACUCCAUUAUUUGUUUAAAAGCCUUUAGUGCAACCUGCUGUAAUUUGAAGUCUUAUGCUUAUAUCACAAUUAUGAACCAGACUGUCUUAUCAAAUAAUAAUUUCCAUUAUUUUGCCCUUUAGAGAAGUUAGGAAAAUAAGGGUAGAUUAGACAAUGUAUUUCCUUGAGCAUGUGCUUCUCAACAGACUGUACACUCAGAAGAUAUGGGAAGACAAGAAA
This is a non-coding RNA of Taeniopygia guttata (zebra finch), 4508 nucleotides long. NCBI's taxonomy places the organism in Eukaryota, Metazoa, Chordata, Aves, Passeriformes, Estrildidae. The record is from RefSeq and is a predicted model, not a curated record.